RNAcentral lists this ribosomal RNA (497 nucleotides) under uncultured bacterium. RNAcentral describes it as "partial 16S ribosomal RNA". It matches the Rfam family "Bacterial small subunit ribosomal RNA", at positions 28 to 507 of the family's 1533-position model. The record is from RNAcentral.
GAUGAACGCUGGCGGCGUGCCUAAUACAUGCAAGUCGAGCGAACAGACGAGGAGCUUGCUCCUCUGACGUUAGCGGCGGACGGGUGAGUAACACGUGGAUAACCUACCUAUAAGACUGGGAUAACUUCGGGAAACCGGAGCUAAUACCGGAGAAUAUAUUGAACCGCAUGGUUCAAUAGUGAAAGACGGCUUUGCUGUCACUUAUAGAUGGAUCCGCGCCGCAUUAGCUAGUUGGUAAGGUAACGGCUUACCAAGGCAAUGAUGCGUAGCCGACCUGAGAGGGUGAUCGGCCACACUGGAACUGAGACACGGUCCAGACUCCUACGGGAGGCAGCAGUAGGGAAUCUUCCGCAAUGGGCGAAAGCCUGACGGAGCAACGCCGCGUGAGUGAUGAAGGUCUUCGGAUCGUAAAACUCUGUUAUUAGGGAAGAACAAAUGUGUAAGUAACUAUGCACGUCUUGACGGUACCUAAUCAGAAAGCCCCGGCUAACUACGUG